RNAcentral lists this ribosomal RNA (439 nucleotides) under uncultured bacterium. RNAcentral describes it as "partial 16S ribosomal RNA". It matches the Rfam family "Bacterial small subunit ribosomal RNA", at positions 339 to 795 of the family's 1533-position model. The record is from RNAcentral.
CUACGGGACGCUGCAGUGAGGAAUAUUGCACAAUGGGGGAAACCCUGAUGCAGCAACGCCGCGUGGAGGAUGACGCAUUUCGGUGUGUAAACUCCUUUUAUGAGUCAAGAAAAUGACGGUAGCUCAUGAAUAAGCACCGGCUAACUCCGUGCCAGCAGCCGCGGUAAUACGGAGGGUGCAAGCGUUACUCGGAAUCACUGGGCGUAAAGGACGCGUAGGCGGGAUGUCAAGUCAGGUGUGAAAUCCUAUGGCUCAACCAUAGAACUGCACUUGAAACUGGCAACCUGGAGUAUGGGAGGGGGAGAUGGAAUUAGUGGUGUAGGGGUGAAAUCCGUAGAUAUCACUAGGAAUACCGAAAGCGAAGGCGAUCUCCUGGAACAUUACUGACGCUAAGGCGUGAAAGCGUGGGGAGCAAACAGGAUUAGAUACCCCAGUAGUC